RNAcentral lists this ribosomal RNA (407 nucleotides) under uncultured bacterium. Its description in RNAcentral is "partial 16S ribosomal RNA". It matches the Rfam family "Bacterial small subunit ribosomal RNA", at positions 30 to 526 of the family's 1533-position model. The record is from RNAcentral.
AUUGAACGCUGGCGGCAGGCCUAACACAUGCAAGUCGAGCGGGGCGGCGGUCGGGUGAGUAAUGCCAAGGAAUCGGCCUGGUAGUGGGGGAUAACGUUCGGAAACGGGCGCUAAUACCGCAUACUAUCAGAUGAGCCUAGGUGGGAUUGGCAAGUUGGUGGGGUAAAGGCCUACCAAGGCGACGAUCCGUAGCUGGUCUGAGAGGAUGAGCAGUCACACUGGAACUGAGACACGGUCCAGACGCCUACGGGAGGCAGCAGUGGGGAAUAUUGGACUAUGGGCGAAAGCCUGAUCCAGCCAUGCCGCGUGUGUGAAGAAGGUCUUCGGGUUGUAAAGCACUUUAAGUUUGGAGGCGUUACCAGCAGAAUAAGCACCGGCUAACUUCGUGCCAGCCGCCGCGGUAAUAC